AGUGAACGCUGGCGGCAGGCCUAACACAUGCAAGUCGAGCGGCAGCGCGGGGGCAACCCUGGCGGCGAGCGGCGGACGGGUGAGGAAUGCAUCGGAAUCUACCUCGUUGUGGGGGAUAACCUCGGGAAACCGGGACUAAUACCGCAUACGACCUACGGGUGAAAGUGGGGGACCUUCGGGCCUCACGCGAUGAGAUGAGCCGAUGCCGGAUUAGCUAGUUGGCGGGGUAAAGGCCCACCAAGGCGACGAUCCGUAGCUGGUCUGAGAGGAUGAUCAGCCACACUGGAACUGAGACACGGUCCAGACUCCUACGGGAGGCAGCAGUGGGGAAUAUUGGACAAUGGGCGCAAGCCUGAUCCAGCCAUGCCGCGUGUGUGAAGAAGGCCUUCGGGUUGUAAAGCACUUUUGUUGGGGAAGAAACCGGCCGGAUUAAUACUUCGGCUGAAUGACGGUACCCAAAGAAUAAGCACCGGCUAACUUCGUGCCAGCAGCCGCGGUAAUACGAAGGGUGCAAGCGUUACUCGGAAUUACUGGGCGUAAAGCGUGCGUAGGCGGUUUGU
This 560-nucleotide ribosomal RNA is filed under the name uncultured bacterium. RNAcentral's name for it is "bacterial SSU rRNA". It matches the Rfam family "Bacterial small subunit ribosomal RNA", at positions 28 to 583 of the family's 1533-position model. The record is from RNAcentral.